RNAcentral lists this ribosomal RNA (454 nucleotides) under uncultured bacterium. Its description in RNAcentral is "bacterial SSU rRNA". It matches the Rfam family "Bacterial small subunit ribosomal RNA", at positions 28 to 524 of the family's 1533-position model. The record is from RNAcentral.
GACGAACGCUGGCGGUGUGCUUCACACAUGCAAGUCGAACGAGGUAGCAAUACCUAGUGGCGGACGGGUGAGUAACGCGUGGGAAUCUGCCUUUAGAUGGGGGAUAACGGGUCGAAAGACUCGCUAAUACCGCAUAUGACGAAAGUUGAAAGGAGUAAUCCGUCUAAAGAUGAGCCCGCGUCCGAUUAGCUAGUUGGUAGAGUAAAAGCCUACCAAGGCGACGAUCGGUAGCUGGUCUGAGAGGAUGAUCAGCCACAAUGGGACUGAGACACGGCCCAUACUCCUACGGGAGGCAGCAGUGGGGAAUUUUACGCAAUGGGCGAAAGCCUGACGUAGCGACACCGCGUGAGCGAAGAAGCCCCUUGGGGUGUAAAGCUCUGUCAGCUGGAACGAAAAAAUGACGGUACCAGCAGAGGAAGCAAUCGGCUAACUACGUGCCAGCAGCCGCGGUAAU